Molecule: long non-coding RNA, 851 nt
Filed under: Homo sapiens (human)
Lineage: Eukaryota; Metazoa; Chordata; Mammalia; Primates; Hominidae
Description: non-protein coding lnc-EPOP-2:7
Source: RNAcentral
GUUUCACGGCUCUGGGUCGUCGCUCCCGAGCCCUCCCUCUGCCCGCACUCCCGUCUCGGGCCCCGGGUCCCCGAGUCUCCAGCCCCCUCCGCCAAGUCUUCGUCUCUGGGUGGAUUCUUCAGCCCCAGGGAAACUUUGGAGUGGAGACCGGGGGAAGGGGCGCUAGGAGGAAUGGGAGCGACGCGGGCCGUUCGCCCCCGCCCCACCCCGUGUCUGGGGGUCUUUUUGGAUGGCCGCCCUCGGGCCCUUUCCUCCGAGGCCACUCUGGAGGGUAGACGCUCUCACACGCAGACAUUUAUUCAUUCAACAGAUAUUUAUUAAACGCUCGUUGCCAGUCGCUGGGAUCGAGUAGAGAGCAAAACAUAUUCCUGCCCUCGGGGAGCUUCCUGUCGGGUUCACAGACACACACGCACGCACAGGGACUCAGAGCCCCAGAGACACACACCGAGGCACCCACAGACACGAGCUAACUCCCAGCUUCAGUCACACCACUGACCCUCCCAGAGACACGAACCUCCGCUCCAGCCCCGCGGGUGCGCUUAGAGACCCACGAGAGUUAGAGACCCGCAACCACGAGGUGCUCACGAACACCAGUUACACUUGACCUCUAGGCACGCACACAGACACACAAGGUAACUCACACGCAGCACUCCAGAGGACUAAAGUCCCUGCAAUUGGGUCUGGGGGAGAAGUGAGGGGCGUCGGCCCAAAGUCUUCUUCCCAACCUGUGUGGGCAAGGGGGGGUGAGAUCUGACCCCCAAAAACUUCCUAAAGGGGGACGACUCGUGGGGACUAAAGGUCACCCGCCCCCCACAGCGGGAGUUCGGGUGGCGUAGGGGAGAAGGCAGCCC